UACAGCUAUACCAGACUGAAACAUCGGCUCUCGUUCGAUCACCAAAGGUAAGCAAAAUCGACUUUGGUCAGUACCUAGGUGGGUGACCGUCUGGGAAACCAAGUGCUGUAAG
Molecule: non-coding RNA, 112 nt
Organism: Acanthosepion pharaonis
Lineage: Eukaryota; Metazoa; Mollusca; Cephalopoda; Sepiida; Sepiidae
Source: the annotation of a GenBank genome assembly